Molecule: long non-coding RNA, 96 nt
Organism: Alosa sapidissima (American shad)
Lineage: Eukaryota; Metazoa; Chordata; Actinopteri; Clupeiformes; Clupeidae
Exons: 3
Source: RefSeq, a predicted model, not a curated record
ACUGUUUAGCAUGUUGUAAGUCGCUAUGGCUAAAUAUGCGUCAGCCAAAUGUAAUGUAAUGUAACGUGAAUGAAUGUAAUAAAUGUACACAUCCAC